AUUGAACGCUGGCGGAAUGCUUUACACAUGCAAGUCGAACGGCAGCACGGGGGCAGCCCUGGUGGCGAGUGGCGAACGGGUGAGUAAUACAUCGGAACGUGCCCGGUCGCGGGGGAUAACGUAGCGAAAGUUACGCUAAUACCGCAUACGAACUGAGGUCGAAAGCGGGGGACCUCCGGGCCUCGCGGGUAGGGGGUGGCCGAUGAUACUAUAGGGAGUUGGAGGGGUAAAGGCUUUCCAAGCAGGCGAUCUGUAACUGGUCUGAGAGGACGACCAACCACACUGGGACUGAGACACGGCCCAGACUCCUGCGGGAGGCAGCAGUGGGGAAUUUUAGACAAUGGGCGCAAGCCUGAUCCAGCCAUUCCGCGUGCAGGACGAAGGCGUUCGGGUUGUAGACUGCUUUUGUACGGAGCGAAAAGACUCUGGCUAAUACCUGGGGCUCAUGACGGUACCGUAAGAAUAAGCACCGGCUAACUACGUG
RNAcentral lists this ribosomal RNA (484 nucleotides) under uncultured bacterium. Its description in RNAcentral is "partial 16S ribosomal RNA". It matches the Rfam family "Bacterial small subunit ribosomal RNA", at positions 29 to 507 of the family's 1533-position model. The record is from RNAcentral.